Molecule: ribosomal RNA, 253 nt
Filed under: uncultured bacterium
Lineage: Bacteria
Description: partial 16S ribosomal RNA
Rfam family: Bacterial small subunit ribosomal RNA
Source: RNAcentral
UACGUAGGGGGCAAGCGUUGUCCGGAUUUAUUGGGCGUAAAGAGCGUGUAGGCGGCUAUACAGGUCCGCUGUGAAAACUCGAGGCUCAACCUCGAGACGUCGGUGGAAACCGUAUGGCUAGAGUCCGGAAGAGGAGAGUGGAAUUCCUGGUGUAGCGGUGAAAUGCGCAGAUAUCGGGAAGAACACCCGUGGCGAAGGCGGCUCUCUGGGACGGUACUGACGCUGAGACGCGAAAGCGUGGGGAGCGAACAGG